CCAGACGGCUGGAUGGCCGCUGCCGCCGUGGGCCAUGUUCGCGGCGGUGGAGGAAAGUCCGGGCUCCACGGGAAGACGGUGCCGGGUAACGCCCGGCGAGAGCGAUCUCAGGGACAGUGCCACAGAGAACAGACCGCCGCAGGCCUCGGGGAAACCUGGGCUGCGGCAAGGGUGAAACGGUGCGGUAAGAGCGCACCGCGGGGCCGGUAACGGUCCCGGCACGGCAAACCCCACCGGGAGCAAGACCAGAUAGGAGAAUGGGGCCGGGCAACCGGUCCAGGCGCCUUCCCGCGCCAGAUUCUCGGGUAGGUCGCGCGAGGCGUCCGGCGACGGGCGUCCCAGAGGAAUGGCUAUCCACGGGCGGCAACGCCCCGGACAGAACCCGGCUUACAGGCCGUCUGGCACG
This 406-nucleotide RNase P RNA is filed under the name Rhodospirillaceae bacterium. Its description in RNAcentral is "RNase P RNA component class A". It matches the Rfam family "Bacterial RNase P class A". From Rfam's summary of the family: Ribonuclease P (RNase P) is a ubiquitous endoribonuclease, found in archaea, bacteria and eukarya as well as chloroplasts and mitochondria. Its best characterised activity is the generation of mature 5'-ends of tRNAs by cleaving the 5'-leader elements of precursor-tRNAs. The record is from RNAcentral. Lineage: Bacteria; Pseudomonadati; Pseudomonadota; Alphaproteobacteria; Rhodospirillales; Rhodospirillaceae.